GAUAGCUCAAAGCAGGCAAAAGAGCUAUGUUGAUACCAGGAGAAGGCCUUUGGAGUUUGAGGAGGGAGAUCGUGUUUUUUUUAGAGUUACCCCCACUAUUGGCAUUGGAAGAGUGCUAAAGGUCAAGAAAAUAAACCAUCUUUCUGUUGGACCCUUACAAAUAUAGCAGAGGAUUGGUCCUUCUACAUACAUAAUAGCCUUGCCACCCAAACUAUGUAAUCUACACAAUGUUUUUCACGUCUCCUAGUUAAAGAAGUAUAAAAGCAUUGAGACUCAAGUCAAACCUUACUUAUGACUCAAUGACAUUCCAAAUUAUAGAUAGAAGUAUAAAAGCAUUGAGAAAUAAAGAAAUUCCCCUAGUGAAGGUUGUUUGGGAAGGGUCUUCGAUAGAAGAAGCAACAUGAGAAGCAGAGGCAUACAUGCAAAGGGAGUAUGCUUACCUUUUCCAAUAGAUAGAAGUGUAAAAGCAUUGAGAAAUAAAGAAAUUCCCCUAGUGAAGGUUGUUUGGGAAGGGUCUUCGAUAGAAGAAGCAACAUGAGAAGCAGAGGCAGACAUGCAAAGGGAGUAUGCUUACCUUUUCCAAUAGGUAAUCCUCUGAAUUUUGAGGGCAAUUUUUUUUUAAGUGGUGGAGGAUGUAACAACUUAUCAAUUUUGUUAAUUUUAAAAAAUAAAAUAAUUAGUUUA
This is a non-coding RNA of Cicer arietinum (chickpea), 684 nucleotides long. The record is from RefSeq and is a predicted model, not a curated record. Lineage: Eukaryota; Viridiplantae; Streptophyta; Magnoliopsida; Fabales; Fabaceae.